Long non-coding RNA from Zophobas morio, 1504 nucleotides. RefSeq lists it as uncharacterized. The transcript has 6 exons. Lineage: Eukaryota; Metazoa; Arthropoda; Insecta; Coleoptera; Tenebrionidae. The record is from RefSeq and is a predicted model, not a curated record.
UACCCGGGGCUUGUUGGUCAGGGUAAAACUACGACUACAACUAUUUCUAAACUCGGUCGAACAUCUGGAAAUAAGGGAUAAAAGAACGCUGUUGCUGAGGAUUUCUUGAAAGUUUUUUAUUAUAUUUUAACCUUAGAAAUCCUGCCUUUAUUACGUCAAGGGAUAGCCCACAGAGUUCAUAGACAAGGGACAAAGCAGAUGUGUUUAAGAGAACUAAGGAUUUUAUAAUUAUUUUAAAAGUUGGAGUGCUACAGUCAAACUGUAUAACGUCCUUUUACUGCUUAAAACAUAUUUUCUAUGUAGUAAGGGACGAGGAAAAAAGGUUAACGACAACAAUAAUCUACUGAAAACUUUAUAUUGCGCCGCUCGUCUGUUAUAUUAAAAAGAGCACGACGAGCGUAGUAAACUUUAAUAAAGCUUGUGGAUUCUUUGCAGAAAGAAAUUUUUACAUGUCUCCAACAUUCUGGAUUCUUCCUUAAGCGUGGACAAACAAUUACGAAAAAAAACGAUGCUGGUGUUACACUAUAAAUUUAUUGAGUAACAUCCACGUCCCGUGCCCAAGUGAAAUGCCUUAAAGCUCUAUAGGCUAUAGCGGUCUAAACUGAUACCAGAAAGUAUGAAAAAGGCUCCUAGUGGCUCAAAUUAAGAUGAAUUUCAAAUCAAUAAAUUCCCCCCUCCCCUUCCUCCCCCACCUGCCGCCUCGUGCGAGGGCCCAACCAAGCGUUGUAGUGGCGGGAAUCCUGGUGGACUGCCGAAUGGAAAUGCCUGGCUGCUUUCGAGAGGUUAUUCCUCUGCGACUUAUUCGUGUCCGAGAAGAGUAUACGCGUAAGCAAAGUUCAGGUUUACCUUAUAAAGAAAAUAAUAAUAGUAAUAAUAAACUUGUGAUGAACCGAAAGUACUUGUACUGCUCCAUCCAUAAACUUCAAAGCUGCCUCGUGGCCUUCCUGCGCAUUGAAGCAGUUUCCUUAAUAAUAGGUAAAUACCCUUCAACAACUAGAAGAAAAACAUCCAGCGAGUCGACCGCGCCGCCGGAAACUUUUGAGUCACAUGGUGAAUCACGUGAUGAGGAAUGAGAUGAUUGGCUCAGGGUGAAUGCAGGGGACACACGUUUUCGCUGUUAACUUUCUAUAGAAAAAAGAUUCGAAUAGAAAAAGGGUAGUGACCUGCAAGAAAAAAACAAACAAUAGGCCAUCGCUGCUCGCACUCAACACUACAGUACUUGUAUUAGCAGUAGUACUAAUACUUUUCCUAUAGGUUUGCUUAUCGUUUAUUACUACUAUUAAUACUGUGAAUGGACGAACACCUGUUAAAAAGAAACUUUUGGGUGCUUUAGUUUCCGAAAACAGCUUAAAACUGGCGCAAAAUAUAUUCGGCUACUGGUGAAUGAAUUGGAAGCAAUAUAUAUAUAUAUAUAAUUUGAACCAAAUUCACUCGUCCACUGGUAUAAGGCGCUUUAUUUUUUUUCGACUGGCUGCAAGGAAAGUUGGUCUUCAAAAAAACUUUU